This is a non-coding RNA of Pelobates cultripes (western spadefoot toad), 389 nucleotides long. The record is from the annotation of a GenBank genome assembly. Lineage: Eukaryota; Metazoa; Chordata; Amphibia; Anura; Pelobatidae.
AUUUAAUAUAAACAUUUAAUAUAUGACGAUGAUCCUUGUGAAACUCCAUGUGACCUUCAUGGAUGGUGCAGGCUUGCCACCCAUAUCCACCCAUGUCAAAUGUUUGGAUUUCGCCAGACGAGAAGAAGUGGAUCAACUUAACUGCUACACCUCAAAACUCCCUUUGCAUAUCUUACUAAAGAUGUAAAAAUACUAGAAAUAUUGUAUGUUGUCAAGAUUGCUGGGUGUAAUAUACUUUGUAACCUUUGUGAAGAGGUCCUCCUCUUCCAAUUCUUGGUGUCAUUAAAUCACUCUCCCUAGACAAGGCCAUCUUGCAAAACUUGUAGAGCAGAGCACACCCUGGCUUUCUCAAAGAGCAUUUUGUACUUGUGGUGUCUCCCAGCAGUUGG